RNAcentral lists this ribosomal RNA (480 nucleotides) under uncultured bacterium. Its description in RNAcentral is "bacterial SSU rRNA". It matches the Rfam family "Bacterial small subunit ribosomal RNA", at positions 30 to 504 of the family's 1533-position model. The record is from RNAcentral.
UGAACGCUAGCGACAGGCCUAACACAUGCAAGUCGAGGGGCAGCAUUUCUAGCUUGCUAGAAGAUGGCGACCGGCGCACGGGUGAGUAACGCGUAUGCAACCUACCUUAUACUGGGGGAUAGCCCAGAGAAAUCUGGAUUAAUACCGCAUAAUAUGUUUGAAUCGCAUGGUUUAAAUAUUAAAACUCCGGUGGUAUAAGAUGGGCAUGCGUAGCAUUAGUUAGUUGGUGAGGUAACGGCUCACCAAGACAAUGAUGCUUAGGGGGUCUGAGAGGAUAGUCCCCCACACUGGUACUGAGACAGGACCAGACUCCUACGGGAGGCAGCAGUGAGGAAUAUUGGUCAAUGGACGCAAGUCUGAACCAGCCAUGUCGCGUGCAGGAUGACGGCCCUAUGGGUUGUAAACUGCUUUUUUACAGGAAUAAUUGUCGCUACGUGUAGUGAUUUGAAUGUACUGUAUGAAUAAGGAUCGGCUAACUCC